RNAcentral lists this ribosomal RNA (350 nucleotides) under Apotolamprus latipennis. RNAcentral describes it as "partial 16S ribosomal RNA". The record is from RNAcentral. Lineage: Eukaryota; Metazoa; Arthropoda; Insecta; Coleoptera; Scarabaeidae.
ACCUGCCCUAUGAUUAGUUAAAUGGCUGCGGUAUUUUGACCGUACAAAGGUAGCAUAAUAAUUAGUUUUUUAAUUGGGAACUGGUAUGAAGGGUCGAACGAGAAAAAAACUGUCUCAAUUUAAUUUUAAUUAGAAUUUUAUUUUUAAGUUAAAAAGCUUAAAUAAAUUUAAAAGACGAGAAGACCCUAUAGAGUUUUAUAUUAAAAUAUUUAUAUAAAGAGUUGAAGAAUAAAAAUUUUUAUAGAUAUUAAAAUAUUUAAUUGGGGCGAUUAAAAAACUGAAUUAACUUUUUUUAAAUUUAUACAUUAAUUUAUGGAUAAUUGAUCCACUUUUAUAGUGAUUAUAAGAUU